RNAcentral lists this long non-coding RNA (216 nucleotides) under Mytilus galloprovincialis (Mediterranean mussel). The record is from RNAcentral. Lineage: Eukaryota; Metazoa; Mollusca; Bivalvia; Mytilida; Mytilidae.
AUUUUUUUAAAAUGAAUAAAAGUAAACUUAGUCUAGUGUUCUUGUCCUGUUCACACUAGUGUUUGAACCAGGAAUGAUUCAUUAGUGAUUUUGAACCAAGAAUAAUUUCACUAGUGAUUCUGUACAAUGAAUGAUUGCACUUAUGUUUAAGAUCAAAUGUUGAAUUGUUUUAGUACACAAGUAUGCUAUAUUUACUAUGUAUUUAUUCAGAAGCCG